This 112-nucleotide transfer RNA is filed under the name Aspergillus indologenus CBS 114.80. RNAcentral's name for it is "tRNA-Leu". It matches the Rfam family "tRNA". From Rfam's summary of the family: Transfer RNA (tRNA) molecules are approximately 80 nucleotides in length. The record is from RNAcentral. Lineage: Eukaryota; Fungi; Ascomycota; Eurotiomycetes; Eurotiales; Aspergillaceae.
GGCAAGGUGGCCGAGCGGUCUAAGCCGUCAGGUUCAGGUUCACCUUAGCAGUCAAGCUUCACAGCUUCCUCAUCAUCAUCAGAUGGCGUGGGUUCGAAUCCCACCCUUGUUA